Molecule: long non-coding RNA, 1310 nt
Organism: Salvia miltiorrhiza (redroot sage)
Lineage: Eukaryota; Viridiplantae; Streptophyta; Magnoliopsida; Lamiales; Lamiaceae
Exons: 2
Source: RefSeq, a predicted model, not a curated record
UCAAUUUCUGCUGCCCCUUCUCAUGCCAACAUGCCUAAUAAUUUCGUUUCCUUUGAUUAAUUCUAUUUAGUAAGUAUCUUAUUUGAAAAUUCCAAAGUGGAAAAAUGAAAUUAAAUACGAGAUGAGACAUGAUUUGAGAAUCCGUAACGGAACAUAAAUGUUCCAGCACAACACAUCCCAAUCAACUCCUCGCAAUCAAUGGCUGUGCAGAUGGCGACGGUUUCAAUUGCCAAAACCUCUCUUCAAAAAAUUCCUUAACUCUUCUUCAUCUUCAUCAUUCCUCUCCUAAAACUUGACAACAACAACAAAAAAAAAAAAUCAGAUCAAAAUAGAAACAAAUCUUCAAAUUUGGAAUGUGAUGGAGCUCAAGUGUAGUCUCGUUUGCAUUCUACUUCUUCUCCUCCUUUCCGGGCCGGGCUCUUCAGCAGGGAGAAUGCAUGCGAAGAAUAUGGGAUCAGAGGUUUAUGAUAUUGAUUACAGAGGGCCGGAGACGCACACAUACAAUCCGCCGCCGAAUCGGGCCGGGCCGAGAAUCCCUCAUCACGCCGUCUCGGCCCGUCACAAGUCGAAACGGAAUGUAAGGAGAAAUCUUGCUAGGAAGAAUUCUAGAUCAUGAAUUUACGAUGAUGGGAUGAGUGAAUGCUCCUUCAUAUUCUUUAUCUAUUUUUAUGGUCACUUUUUUGAAAAAGAAAAAAAUAAUCUAUUUGUGUGAUUUUUUUCUUUUCUUUUCUUUUUUUUCACUUCGGUUAAGUGAGGUUUAUGCAACGAACUUUGAAGUCUUUUUAAAAAAUGGCUCGAAUUUUUGUUUACUUUUUUAAGAUCUUCAACUUUGUAGAAAGUUUUAAUUUUGGCCCGUGAUCGAAAAGUUGAAUGAGCUUGCUUGAAUAUAUAUAUAUAUACUAAAUGAAGGGGAAAUUAAAUUGACUUUAUAAUUAUGUAAUUGAUAUGCUACGUGAGAAUCUCGCCUUUGAUUCAAUUUUUUGAAGUCGAAUUUUCUAUUACGGGCCAAAAUUACAACUUUUAAUAAAGUUAAAGAUUGUUAAAAAAAUAAAAGAAAACUCGGAUCAUUUUCUAGAAAAAGCUCCAAAAUUCGAUAUAUAAACUAUAAAUUCGAUGUAAAAAGCUUCUUAUGUAAUUGAGCACUAUCCUAAGUUUGGAUGACGAUGCAGAUUCUAUUUCGUUUUAUGAUUAUGGUGUAAUUUUUUUUUCCUGAUGUAAUAGUAUAAUGUUAAUUAUUACUAUAAAAGAGAUGUUGUAAUUAAGGGAUUUAAGAGCAUAUUUCACCUAGUUAUAUAGUAUUCGUUGCAAAA